Molecule: long non-coding RNA, 905 nt
Organism: Cucumis sativus (cucumber)
Lineage: Eukaryota; Viridiplantae; Streptophyta; Magnoliopsida; Cucurbitales; Cucurbitaceae
Exons: 2
Source: RefSeq, a predicted model, not a curated record
GUUUCUCUGGGUUACUAUUUUUCAUUUCAUUUCACUUUAUUUUUAUUUUUCCCAUUAAUUUUCAUCGUUAUCUGAGUGUGAGAAGAGCGCUGAGAAGUGUUGAAUUGAAGAACGGGACAGCUUUCUUUAGUGGGGAUGGUGGAUCGAAAUUCCAACCUCAAUAGAAGGGGUGCAAAUCAUUUAUUAUCAUUUGUUUGUUUGGGAGACACAAGUAGAGCAAACCACUCAUGUUUUAUGGUAAGUUGUUUGGAAUAUAGAAGAAACUUGUUAUACUAAGAAUACAAAAUUACAUCAAGAGACGUAAGUAGAGCAAACCACUCAUGCUUAAGGGUAAGUUCUUUAGAAAACAAAAGAAAAACUUGUUCUUAUCUUCUUAGACCCAAGUGUGACAUAACAUUGUGACAAUCUUGUACAUGGAAAAUGAGACAUUGGCCAAAUUGGGCACAAAAGACUUCACCUCAUCAAUGAAAAGAGGGCCUUGGUAAGAUCUACAAAAACUUCAUUUAGUAGAUUUGACGACCCCUAGCCUGUUAGACUCAUCUACGACAUGCUCAAUGUAAGAAAAAAGUAAUACCAUGAAGACUAUCUUGAGUAGCUCUUGCUUCAACAAUUUUGACCUUAUUGCAUCUUGGAAAGAAUUUUAACCCAACAAGGUGAAUAAGAUCCAAAUUAUUCCAAAGCACUCACUCCAACCCACUAGUUAGAUUGACAUAGCUCCAAGAAGCGUCAGUGUUCAAUUUCUUAAUGUUUGUCGAAGGAGGGUGUCAACCAACAAAAUAAGGCGAUUAGGGAGAAACUGGAUCUCUUUGCCACGUUUUUGUCAUUUGUAUCCAUACGUACCCGUAACUUUUGCUCUCUUAAAAAUGUUUUUAAGUUGAAACAUUAAUUGAGUCAAAGUUUGUUGA